UGUCUGAAAACGAAACGAAAGCAUUAUUCUCUUUAAACUUCAAGAUACUUGAUGGCCGUCUGAACAUCCUUAUCACCUCUCCCGCUGAAGUUUAACACCACUCUAGCACCAUCAGGUAAUGUCGGACAUAGCUUCUCGAGAUGAGCCAAUGCAUGAGAUGUCUCCAAUGCUGGGAUUAUUCCCUCCAACCGAGACACUCUCUUGAACGCUACACACGGAGGAGAUCAGCAAGCAAAAACAAUGCAAGAAACAUAUAAAGACAAGUACCUUCUAAAGCUUCUUCAUCGGUAACGCUGUAGUAUUCAACCCGUCCCAUCUCUUUAAGGAAACUAUGCUCAGGUCCAGUACUCCAGUGUAGUCCAAGCUGUUAACAUUGAACAUUUACUGUUUGAUGUUACUUGAGAAAUGAGUAAUCAAACUGUUGACUUUUCAAGUCUCCUAAAUCAUCUAUGGUCGAUAAGUGAAAGGAAUGAAGACAAACAGAUUUAGGGAUAGUAUAUGGUAUUUCCAAGAAGAAAUGACAUUUAGAAAUAGUAAACUGUAUCAGCAAAGGUUUAGAAAUAGUAGCAAAAACAAAAAUGAAGAGAAAAAGACUAUAAUCAUAGCUGAUCUAGUAAAUGACCAGUACGACUCACUUUUCUUCCACUUUCUUUUUCACAUCAGAGGGGGAAAAAUGUUAAUUACUUGAUUAAAAAAGGUUGCUCUGCCUCAAUUUUGUAGCCAAAGGUUUAACAUAGUUUAAUAAAGAGACGACUUAUUAAAGAGUCAACACAUAAAAAAGCAAUAAUAAAAAAAAAAAAAAAGAUCCGGAGUCUUAAGCGUGUCUGUAUUAGUCCCACUAUGCGUACGACUGCUUAUGCAUUAAAGACUACUAUUUAUGUUUUUCUAUCUAUGUAAUUUAGUAGGUCUCCCAGAAGAAAGAACAGGACCUAGUAAAGUUAACUUCCGACAAUGGGAGCUUCAACAGUUUUCCUAUGUGGUGUUGUUCUGAUUCACCUGUUUGCUUCUCAAACUGACGCUCAAAGACCUAGAAGUCCAUGGAAAACACUCAGUGGUGAGAGUGCUCUCACUUUCUAUCUCUUUCUUUAAGCAUGAAUGUCCGAUAGAAACUAGUACUCCGACUUUAUUUAUACAGAGAUCUGUAGUAGAGUUGGGAUUAUCAUAUAUAUUCUCUUUUAUUAGAAUAACUUUGUGAUACACUUUUACUUUACCAGGUGAUGCUCCUCGUGUGAUCUCUCGUGGAGGGUUUUCUGGAUUGUUUCCAGAUUCGAGCCUUGAUGCUUACAUCUUCGCACUACAGACAAGUGUAGCAGAUGCUGUCCUGUGGUGUGAUGUUCAAUUAACCAAAGAUGGAGCUGGGAUUUGCUUCCCUGAUCUAAACAUGAGCAAUGCUUCAAUUAUUGAAGUUGUUUACCCAAAGGGUCAAAAAACUUACCCGGUUAAUGGAGUCCCUACUCAGGGCUGGUUCACCGUUGAUUUCUCCUUGAAAGAUCUCAACAAGGUUUACUGUAAGUCUUCAUUGCCCAAAAAGUGAGUGCUUCACUGUUUCUCGCAACUUCUCACAAAUGUCUUCUUCUUGUUUUUCAGUGAUCCGAGCUAUUUUAUCUCGUUCAGACAGAUUCGAUGGUAAUGAAUACACGAUCUCCACUGUUCAAACUGUAAACAAGGAGCUGAAACCACUAGGCUUUUGGCUUAAUGUUCAGCACGAUGCCUUCUACGCGCAGCAUAAUCUGAGCAUGAGCACUUUUCUGAUAUCUGCUUCAAAAACUGUUUCCGUUGACUACCUCUCUUCCCCUGAAGUGAAUUUCUUUACAAAGAUUGCUGGCCGGUUCGGGCGUAAUGGACCGAAAUUCGUGUUCCGGUUUCUUGAGAAAGAACAAUUUGAGCCGACAACAAACAGAACAUACGGUUCUAUCUUGAGUAACCUAACAUUUGUCAAGAAUUUUGCUUCAGGGAUUCUUGUUCCCAAGUCUUACGUAUUGCCACUAGAUGACAAGCAGUACUUGCUUCCCUCCACAUCCUUAGUUCAAGAUGCUCAGAAAGCAGGACUUUGCCACUAGAUGACAAGCAGUACUUGCUUCCGUCUACUUCUUUGGUUCAAGAUGCUCACAAAGCAGGACUUGAAGUGUUUGUGUCAGGUUUUGCUAAUGAUGUUGAUAUUGCACAUGACUACAGUUAUGAUCCUGUCUCUGAGUAUCUAUCUUUUAUGGACAAUGGCAACUUUUCUGUCGAUGGUGUGCUCUCAGAUUUUCCCAUAACUGCAUCUGCAUCCAUUGGUAAGCAAAAUCUCUUAAGGUGGUUUCUUUAUGUCCUUAGAACAUUGCUCGAAACACUCACAUCAAUCAUUUUCCUUUUAUAUUUUCUUCAAGAAUGCUUCUCCCACCUUGGCAGAAACGCUAUAAAACAAGGUAGUAAGUAAGAGUCAUUACUUUGCAUAUUUCUUUUAUGAUUAGUAGUAGAAAAGAAAGAAAGAGAAACCCAUAGUUGACACUUAUCAAAAUGGUUCACGGUUCAGUUGAUUUUCUUGUUAUAUCAAAAAAUGGAGCGAGUGGGGACUAUCCAGGAUGUACUGACUUGGCAUAUGAUAAGGCUAUCAAAGAUGGUGCUGAUGUUAUCGAUUGCUCAGUCCAGAUGUCCAGCGACGGUAAACCCUUUUGCUCAAGAUCAAUAGACCUCUCGAACAGCACAACGAUCUCCCAGACAUCUUACGCGCAACGUUCAACACAUGUUCCCGAGAUUAGCUCAAAUGGUGGGAUAUACACUUUUAGUCUCACAUGGGCUGAGAUCCGGAACUUGACUCGUAAGUUUCCACUUAAUUUAAAGAGGCUACAUCUAACAAUUUUACAAUUUAAAGAUACUAUUUGGUCAAAAUUACAUACCUUGAGCGUUACAUAUCUAUUCUCCCAUCUUUUGUGCAGCUGCGAUUGCAAACCCGUACAGGCUAUACAAUAUAUUCAGGAAUCCUAAUCAGAAAAAUUCUGGAAAGCUUAUUUUGCUUUCUGAAUUCCUAAACUUGGCAAAACACUCCACUUCUCUCUCCGGUGUUUUGAUCAGUGUAGAGGUCAGUUCCCGCACCUCCUAAUCUUAUGGUUUUAACAAAUCAGAUAGGCCUGUGCCGGGACUUUUGGUUGAGUAGGGUUAUUUAUAACUAAUGUUUGAAAUAGCCCAAAAAUCUUAAUAGAAAUCUAAAAUAAUUGACCAAAAAUAUUCAAAAAUCUAUACUAAAACUAGUUAAACCUAGACCUAAAAACUAUUAGAAAAAAAUAAAAAGAAACUUCAAUUUUUUUAUUUAAAAUACUAUAAAUAUUUGAAUUACUUUAACAAAUAUAAAAAAAAUUUAACACAUUUUUUAAUUAAUUUCAUAUUUUUUUGGAUCCUGGUUCAGAUUUCGAUUCGGUUUGGGUUGUAUUCGUACAUAAUUCUUAAGUCCCGUUUGGAUGUUUUCAUAUAAUGUUCCGGAUCAGAAUUCAGUGUUUUGGUUCGGAUAAAACGGUCAGGCCUAUUCUAACGUCUUUAAUGGCAUGGCCACUUAAUUUUUAUUGUGUCCUUCAGAAUGUAAUGUACCUGCGACAGAAGCAAGGGCUCAACAUGGUUAAAGCGGUUCUCGAUACCCUCACGGAAACUGCUUACAGCACUCGAAUAACCACAACAAAAGUCAUGAUUCAGUCAACGGAUAGCUCGGUCCUAGUUGAGUUCAGGAAUCAGAGCAAGUAUGAGACAGUCUACAAAGUUGAAAAAACCAUUAGUGAUAUUAGUGACUCUGCUAUUAAAGAGAUAAAAGAAUUUGCUAGCGCUGUUGUCAUCACUAAAGCAUCAGUAUUUCCCACAUUUGAUGGGUUCCUCAUGGGGCAAACCAAUGUUGUGGAGAGGCUGCAGAAGUCUCAGCUUCCGGUAUAUGUGGAACUGUUCCAGAACGAGUUUGUAUCUCAACCAUAUGACUUCUUAUCUGACGCAACUGUUGAGAUAAACUCUUAUGUUACUGGAGCUGGUGUAAAUGGAACCAUCACUGAGUUCCCUUUCACAGCUGCUAGAUAUAGAAGUAAGUGGAUUAUUCUUUGCACCAGAGGGUCUCACAAUAUGACAUCAAUAAUGCCGAAUUUUGUUUCCCUCUUGUGCAGAAAAUAGAUGUUUGGGAAGCAAAGAAACUCCACCUUACAUGGCUCCUGUCCAACCAGGUGCACUCUUGCAAGUUGUGAAUCCGGCGUCCUUACCUCCAGCCGAAGCUCCAAACCCGGUGUUCACAGAUGCUGAUGUCCCAGGUUAUGACCAUUACAAACAAUGCAGUCAAACGUUUCGCUGUGGUAAUCAGGGCGGUCUCUUGUACCCUUUCUGGACACCUGACAGAGAAACCUGCGGCUACCCUGGCUUUAAGCUCAACUGUAGCGAUGGAUUCGCAGAGCUUACUGUCUCUUCCGUGAAGUUCAGAAUCUUAAACGCAAAUUACACUUCUCGUAAUAUAAGACUCGCCAGAUCAGAUUAUAUCGACAAUCUUUGUCCUUCAGACCCACUAAAUGGACCAUUCUACCAAGAGGCCCUUCAACUGGCUAAUGACACCAAUCUGCUAACAAUGCUUUAUGACUGCCAAGACUUAUCAUCCAUUAUCUACAGCAGCGAAGCUUACAAUUACGUUACAGACUUUCAAUGUAAAGAAGGUGUAAAAAACAACAACUAUUGUGUUGUGAUAAACAGCUCGUCUUCUUUAUUCAACGGGAGGGAUGGCAUUGACUACAUGAAGGAAAACUGCACAGUUUACGUCAGCAUGCCUGUUUCCGGGUCGAACCUACACACUCUGGAUUCAAAUAAUCUAAAGAAGACUCUUGAACAGGGUUUCGAGCUUCAACUUAAACAAGACUGCUCAAUGUGCCUAGAAUCUAAGGGUGCUUGUGGAUACGAUCAAACUUUUAAUCGAUUCGUCUGCUAUUGUGACGAUGGGACCCAUGGCGAUACCUGUAGCUCUGGAAAGACAAGUCAGGGUAAUCCGUCGUUUUCUCUCAUUUUGUUACUUUUCAGAUCAAGUUUGGUUUCAUUCUGACAAAAAAAAUUACACGUGUUAAAACAGGAUUUUCGGUCAACACAGUUCACAAAGGUUAGUAAUGUUGGAUAAUUCAAAGACCAUGGAAAGUUACAAUUUAGAUUAGGUUUGUGUUUUCAUAUUCCAAUAUAGAUUUAAUGGAGAUAUGUUCCACAAAAUCUAAGAUUAACAUUGAGAACUUUAGUUUUGAAAAGUUUCAAAAGCAAUAAGAAAAAUUGUUUUUAUGUGUUUAGAGAUUUGAAGUAUGAUGGGAAGAUAGAUUUUUUUUAAGUUAUUUAGUUUGAUUCCAUUCUGACAAAAUUUUACUUGUUGAAUGGUUGAACAGGGUCUUUGGUCAAUGCAAUUGGCAAAGGUGAGUUAGUUUGCAGGGAAGAUAGACUUUGAACUGUUUAUGUGUAUUACUUAAACUCACGAAUUUCUCUGUUUAUUUCUAGUUUCGGGCUCAGUAGCAGGCGUUGUUAUGUUCUUGGUCUUACUAUCAUUGUUUCUUUGUUACCUCUGGAAGAGAGAAACACGACAGAGACAGCAAAAUCUCAAGUCGCUUAUUCCACUCAAACACUACACUUACGCACAAGUGAAAAGAAUCACCAAGUCAUUUGCGGAAGUGGUCGGGAGAGGCGGGGUUUGGGACACUUACGCACAAGUGAAAAGAAUCACCAAGUCAUUUGCGGAAGUGGUCGGGAGAGGCGGGUUUGGAAUUGUGUAUAGAGGAACGCUUCCUGACGGCCGUAUGGUUGCGGUGAAGGUCUUGAAAGAUUCAAAGGGCAAUGGUGAAGAUUUCACGAACGAGGUUGCAAGCAUGAGCCAAACUUCUCAUCACAACAUUGUUUCCUUGCUUGGUUUCUGCUCCGAACGUUCCAAAAGAGCGAUUAUAUAUGAAUUUUUGGGAAACGGGUCCCUUGAUAAAUUCAUCGCAGGCAAGACUUUGGACUGGACGGCAUUGUAUCAAAUUGCGGUUGGAGUUGCUCGAGGCCUAGAAUACUUGCAUCACGGCUGCAAAACGAGGAUUGUGCAUUUCGACAUAAAACCACAAAAUGUACUCUUAGAUGAAAACUUUUGCCCCAAGGUUUCAGACUUCGGUCUUGCUAAGCUCUGCGAGAAGAAAGAGAGUGCACUGUCAUUGCUGGACACAAGAGGUACAGUCGGGUACAUUGCACCAGAGAUGAUUUCAAGAGUUUAUGGGAGCGUGUCUCACAAGUCAGAUGUAUAUAGCUACGGAAUGUUGGUUCUGGAGAUGAUUGGCGCAAGGAAUAAAGAAAAAGCUCAUCAGGACUCCACUUCUAACACGAGUUCGAUAUACUUUCCUGAGUGGAUAUAUAGGGAUAUUGAAUUAGGAAAGUCUAGAAGGCUUAUCGAGGAUGAGAUCAGCAAUGAGGAACAUGAGCUAGCAAAGAAGAUGGCUUUGGUUGGUUUGUGGUGUAUUCAGUCUUCUCCGUUGGAUCGCCCACCUAUGAAAUAGCAAAGAAGAUGGCUUUGGUUGGUUUGUGGUGUAUUCAGUCUUCUCCGUUGGAUCGCCCACCGAUGAACAGAGUUGUAGAGAUGAUGGAAGGAAGCUUGGAUGCUCUCGAAGUGCCUCCUAGGCCUGUUUUGCAAAUUCCCAUAGCACCUCUUCAAGAGCCUUCAACACUUUCAAGGGAUAUUUCGGUUUACACCGAAGAAUGAUCUAAAAAGCCUCCUUGGAAUUUAUCAAAGCAGGACCACAAGAAUGCAAAUAUUCAAGAAAUGCCAUACAUUCCGAAUUAAAAUGGGAAAUCUAUGUAUAAAAUUAGGUUAUUCUGAAGAUUAUUUGAUGUCCAUAUACACACCAAGUUCGGUGUAUUUAGAUUAGGUGAAUGACAUGAGAAUUCACCUACUGUGAAUACUACUUAAUCCCAAUUCAGUUCCUAAGUCUACAACUAUCCCUCGUAGCUGACAUUCUGAUUUUGCACAUAUAUGAUGUUGAUUAUAUGCGUAAAACCUAAUAAUUUCAUCCACAAUAUAUACCUAUCUCUUCUAAGAAUACUACGUCUAUAUACCGAAAGAACUUCACUCAUUACUAUUGCUGUUUAUUUUUUGAACCAUUUUCCGAAUACAUUCCAUUUCUUUUAGGUUUCUGUGAAAUGUAUCAGUAUCAUUAAAAACCGACCCAUAUCAUCCACUAGAUGAGUCAAACCUUGAUUAGUUGGACGAAGAGGAUGACACCAAAGUUGACAGUCUUGUGAUUUGAAUUUCUGAAAACCAUCAUUUCUGCAAUGCAAUGUUUAAGGGAAGUGCAAUGAGUUGACAUCAAACAUAUGCGUGAGUUUACUCGUGUUUAUUUACAGAUUUAAGUAGACUUCUAAAAUAAUUCAAUCAUGGUUGUUUAUAAUGCAUUAAGGUUUUUUUUUUUUUGUUUUGGUUAAAUUAAAGCUGAGUGGAAAACAAAACAGUUCGAACUUCUUAUAAGAACAUCAAACGCUCAAUAGAACAGUCUUAUUUAUAGGAUACACUUUUAUUUCUUUCGUUCUCUUCUUAAUACUCUGUUCCUAUUUGGGUUUUCCGCCCAAGAAGCAAGAACUAACAAACCAACUAAAACAAAAUGUCACUGUCUGAAAACGAAACGAAAGUAUUCUUCUCUUUAAACUUCAAGAUACUUGAUGGCCGUCUGAACAUCCUUAUCACCUCUCCCGCUGAAGUUUAACACCACUCUAGCACCAUCAGGUAACGUCGGACAUAGCUUCUCGAGAUGAGCCAAUGCAUGUGACGUCUCCAGAGCAGGGAUUAUUCCCUCCAACCGAGACACUCUCUUGAA
RNAcentral lists this long non-coding RNA (7802 nucleotides) under Brassica napus (rape). RNAcentral describes it as "long non-coding RNA (BNAP_LNC020860)". Lineage: Eukaryota; Viridiplantae; Streptophyta; Magnoliopsida; Brassicales; Brassicaceae. The record is from RNAcentral.